AACACUCUAGUUUAUAUAAAAUUGUAUAGUUUGCGUCUAUGAGAAGGGUAAUUAGCACCCGUGUGUUA
This 68-nucleotide transfer RNA is filed under the name Didymobothrium rudolphii. RNAcentral describes it as "tRNA-Ala". Lineage: Eukaryota; Metazoa; Platyhelminthes; Cestoda; Spathebothriidea; Acrobothriidae. The record is from RNAcentral.